Molecule: long non-coding RNA, 338 nt
Filed under: Dromaius novaehollandiae (emu)
Lineage: Eukaryota; Metazoa; Chordata; Aves; Casuariiformes; Dromaiidae
Description: lncRNA (ENSDNVG00000009210.1)
Source: RNAcentral
UUUUUCAUGAGUGCAAGCUGAGGAAGAAGAUAUAUAUGAAAACUGAAUGUUUGAAUUCUACCUUGUCAAGAUGGCAAAUGACCUGGGGGAAAACUACAUGUGGAAGCACAGAGUUUGUUUGCACAGAAUGGAUAUGCAUAUCCUCCUGCACACACUGCUCUAUAUUAUGCUGCAAUGAAGGCUGGCAGGCUUUGCACUGUAGAGGAGGACAGCGAGGUUUCUGGACGCAUUUACAAAAUUUAUUUCUCCAGUUUCAAAUCAGCCAUUCAGGAAGCUCCAUCUCCUGCAAAGAUCAGCUCCAUUGUGGUUGUGUUCCUAGGAAACCUAGCUGUGGAUGA